This 216-nucleotide ribosomal RNA is filed under the name Glomeromycotina sp. RNAcentral describes it as "partial small subunit ribosomal RNA". The stretch from base 40 to 216 matches the Rfam family "Eukaryotic small subunit ribosomal RNA", at positions 686 to 864 of the family's 1831-position model. The record is from RNAcentral. Lineage: Eukaryota; Fungi; Glomeromycota.
GGGUCAGUAGGUUGGUCGUGCCACCGGUACGUACUGGUCUCACUGAUUCCUCCUUCCUGAAGAACCGUAAUGCCAUUAAUUUGGUGUUGCGGGGAAACAGGACUUUUACUUUGAAAAAAUUAGAGUGUUUAAAGCAAGCUAACGCUUGAAUACAUUAGCAUGGAAUAAUGAAAUAGGACGAUCGAUCCUAUUUUGUUGGUUUCUAGGAUUGACGUA